This 382-nucleotide ribosomal RNA is filed under the name uncultured bacterium. RNAcentral's name for it is "partial 16S ribosomal RNA". It matches the Rfam family "Bacterial small subunit ribosomal RNA", at positions 523 to 908 of the family's 1533-position model. The record is from RNAcentral.
AUACGGAGGAUGCGAGCGUUAUCCGGAUUUAUUGGGUUUAAAGGGAGCGUAGGCGGGAGCUUAAGUCAGCGGUUAAAUGGUGCGGCUCAACCGUGCCCUGCCGUUGAAACUGGGUUUCUUGAGAGUGCAAGAGGCGGAUGGAAUUCAUGGUGUAGCGGUGAAAUGCUUAGAUAUCAUGAAGAACUCCGAUUGCGAAGGCAGUCCGCUGGGGCACGUCUGACGCUGAUGCUCGAAGGUGCGGGAAUCAAACAGGAUUAGAUACCCUGGUAGUCCGCACGGUAAACGAUGAUUACCCGCUGUCGGCGGUAGACAGUCGGCGGCCAAGCGAAAGCGAUAAGUAAUCCACCUGGGGAGUACGCCGGCAACGGUGAAACUCAAAGGA